GGCUAAUCCAAAAGCAGUUAUCUCAACUGACUGUUCAGAGACAGUUGCAGAUCAAUUGAACUCAUUGUUCUGCUCUUUCCCCACUUUUCACCAUUGCACUUGAGCAGUCUUUA
Molecule: unclassified non-coding RNA, 113 nt
Organism: Chlorocebus sabaeus (green monkey)
Lineage: Eukaryota; Metazoa; Chordata; Mammalia; Primates; Cercopithecidae
Rfam family: Y RNA
About the family: Y RNAs are components of the Ro ribonucleoprotein particle (Ro RNP), in association with Ro60 and La proteins. The Y RNAs and Ro60 and La proteins are well conserved, but the function of the Ro RNP is not known. In humans the RNA component can be one of four small RNAs -- hY1, hY3, hY4 and hY5.
Source: Ensembl